AUGGUCAUGCCACAUUGAAAACCGGUUUUCGUCCGAUCACCGAAGUUAAGCAAUGUCAGUCAGUACUUGGGAGGGUGACCAUCUGGGGGUGCUGUAGGCU
This 100-nucleotide ribosomal RNA is filed under the name Cordylochernes scorpioides. The record is from RNAcentral. Lineage: Eukaryota; Metazoa; Arthropoda; Arachnida; Pseudoscorpiones; Chernetidae.